Falco peregrinus (peregrine falcon) is the source of this 493-nucleotide long non-coding RNA. RefSeq lists it as uncharacterized. The record is from RefSeq and is a predicted model, not a curated record. NCBI's taxonomy places the organism in Eukaryota, Metazoa, Chordata, Aves, Falconiformes, Falconidae. The transcript is spliced from 3 exons.
CCUUUUGAAAUUAGACACAGCUUCUGGAAUCGACCCCAGACACUGCUUUUCAAGCCAGAAGCAUUUGUAUAAGCGUUAUCAAUCAUGCCACUGGCUCGUAUUGCUACUGUAUAUUCACCUUCUACCUGGUUUGAAUUCCUAAUUGGCCCUGCUGUGCAACUUGAAGCCCUGAAGAAAGUGGUGAAAGGGAAGUGGGGGAGAGUAUGACUUCCCCAGCUGGUAUUGGGAGACUUUCUUGAAAAUUACACUGACAAAUUCUGUUUCCUGGAGAAAAUAGACAAGAAGCAGUUGGUAACAGGGAGUCUGAAGAAGAAAUUAAUUUCUACACUUUUAAAAUACCCUUCUGCCUACACCUAUUUUAAAUGGAUUUAACAAGAACUGCUGAAAGCUGAGAUUUUGAUUGCCCAAAUCCCAGCUUUGUUUCCAGAAAUCUGCUGGGUUUUUUAAUUCAUGAGAGAGGAAGAAGCUGCCAUCACAGCAGACAAGGUAAGAG